RNAcentral lists this ribosomal RNA (587 nucleotides) under uncultured bacterium. RNAcentral's name for it is "bacterial SSU rRNA". It matches the Rfam family "Bacterial small subunit ribosomal RNA", at positions 338 to 916 of the family's 1533-position model. The record is from RNAcentral.
CCUACGGGAGGCAGCAGUGGGGAAUAUUGGACAAUGGGGGCAACCCUGAUCCAGCCAUGCCGCGUGUGUGAAGAAGGCCUUUUGGUUGUAAAGCACUUUAAGCAGGGAGGAGAGGCUAAUGGUUAAUACCCAUUAGAUUAGACGUUACCUGCAGAAUAAGCACCGGCUAACUCUGUGCCAACAGCCGCGGUAAUACAGAGGGUGCGAGCGUUAAUCGGAAUUACUGGGCGUAAAGCGAGUGUAGGUGGCUCAUUAAGUCACAUGUGAAAUCCCCGGGCUUAACCUGGGAACUGCAUGUGAUACUGGUGGUGCUAGAAUAUGUGAGAGGGAAGUAGAAUUCCAGGUGUAGCGGUGAAAUGCGUAGAGAUCUGGAGGAAUACCGAUGGCGAAGGCAGCUUCCUGGCAUAAUAUUGACACUGAGAUUCGAAAGCGUGGGUAGCAAACAGGAUUAGAUACCCUGGUAGUCCACGCCGUAAACGAUGUCUACUAGCCGUUGGGGUCCUUGAGACUUUAGUGGCGCAGUUAACGCGAUAAGUAGACCGCCUGGGGAGUACGGCCGCAAGGUUAAAACUCAAAGGAAUUGACGG